AAAUUGAAGAGUUUGAUCAUGGCUCAGAUUGAACGCUGGCGGCAGGCCUAACACAUGCAAGUCGAACGGUAACAGAAAGCAGCUUGCUGCUUUGCUGACGAGUGGCGGACGGGUGAGUAAUAUCUGGGAAACUGCCUGAUGGAGGGGGAUAACUACUGGAAACGGUAGCUAAUACCGCAUAACGUCGCAAGACCAAAGAGGGGGACCUUCGGGCCUCUUGCCAUCGGAUGUGCCCAGAUGGGAUUAGCUAGUAGG
RNAcentral lists this ribosomal RNA (255 nucleotides) under Escherichia coli. Its description in RNAcentral is "partial 16S ribosomal RNA". It matches the Rfam family "Bacterial small subunit ribosomal RNA", at positions 1 to 252 of the family's 1533-position model. Lineage: Bacteria; Pseudomonadati; Pseudomonadota; Gammaproteobacteria; Enterobacterales; Enterobacteriaceae. The record is from RNAcentral.